Molecule: ribosomal RNA, 465 nt
Filed under: Triticum aestivum (bread wheat)
Lineage: Eukaryota; Viridiplantae; Streptophyta; Magnoliopsida; Poales; Poaceae
Description: partial small subunit ribosomal RNA
Source: RNAcentral
AUGUUGAUUUAUCUUGUUAUCCACCAAACCAUGGUCUCAGGUCCCAUUCCAAACGAGUUAGAAAGGCUUGUCAGCCUGCAGGGUUUACAGCUAAGCAACAGCGCCUUAAGUGGCAACAUACCCGCAACUCUUGCAAACCUGACCCAGCUAAAUGUUCUGUUAUUGUAUGGUAACAAACUGUCGGGGCCGAUACCCCAUGAGCUAGGCAAGCUAGUCGAUCUGCAAUUCCUUCAACUUGAUGAAAAUAAACUAACCGCUCAAAUCCCUUUCUCCAUAUCCAAUCUAACUAUGUUAAAUGAACUCUCUCUCGUCGAAAAUCAAAUCACAGGUUCCAUCCCCGCUGAAAUAGGAAGGCUAGUCAUGUUAAACAAACUUGAUCUCUACCAAAAUCAAAUAACAGGAACAAUACCUCCAGAAGUAGGCAACCUCACUAGGCUCAAGAUACUUCGUGUCUAUAAAAAUUGA